UACGUAGGGUGCAAGCGUUAAUCGGAAUUACUGGGCGUAAAGCGUGCGCAGGCGGUUUGCUAAGACCGAUGUGAAAUCCCCGGGCUUAACCUGGGAACUGCAUUGGUGACUGGCAGGCUAGAGUAUGGCAGAGGGGGGUAGAAUUCCACGUGUAGCAGUGAAAUGCGUAGGGAUGUGGAGGAAUACCGAUGGCGAAGGCAGCCCCCUGGGCCAAUACUGACGCUCAUGCACGAAAGCGUGGGGAGCAAACAGG
Molecule: ribosomal RNA, 253 nt
Filed under: uncultured bacterium
Lineage: Bacteria
Description: partial 16S ribosomal RNA
Rfam family: Bacterial small subunit ribosomal RNA
Source: RNAcentral